This 183-nucleotide unclassified non-coding RNA is filed under the name Hannaella sinensis. Its description in RNAcentral is "partial internal transcribed spacer region". The stretch from base 1 to 46 matches the Rfam family "Eukaryotic small subunit ribosomal RNA", at positions 1786 to 1831 of the family's 1831-position model. The record is from RNAcentral. RNAcentral also lists the same sequence under 3 other names. Lineage: Eukaryota; Fungi; Basidiomycota; Tremellomycetes; Tremellales; Bulleribasidiaceae.
AAGUCGUAACAAGGUUUCCGUAGGUGAACCUGCGGAAGGAUCAUUAACAAAGUUCGCUUCUCUGAAGCAACUGAUCUCUAACACCUGUGCAUCUUGUCGCUCCGGCGAUAUAUCAAACAUCAGUGUAAAGAAUGUAAUUUAUUAUAACAAAUACAACUUUCAACAACGGAUCUCUUGGCUCUC